Molecule: long non-coding RNA, 825 nt
Organism: Amphiprion ocellaris (clown anemonefish)
Lineage: Eukaryota; Metazoa; Chordata; Actinopteri; Pomacentridae
Source: Ensembl
UAUGUCGAAAAAAAAUGCGAUUUUUCAAACAUGUCGUAAAAACGUGCCAUAUGAUGAAAUAAUGUAAAGGAGGCCGUGAAAAACAGUCCAGAAAGGUUUUCUUUGAAUAAAAAAAUCAUCAUGAAUUUUGGCGCAAAAAAAAUGCCUUACUAUACUAUGUCGAAAAAAAUGCGAUUUUUCAAACAUGUCGUAAAAACGUGCCAUAUGAUGAAAUAAUGUAAAGGAGGCCGUGAAAAACAGUCCAGAAAGGUUUUCUUUGAAAAAAAAAAACAUGAAUUUUGGCUCAAAAAAAUGCCUUACUAUACUAUGUCGAAAAAAAAUGCGAUUUUUCAAACAUGUCGUAAAAACGUGCCAUAUGAUGAAAUAAUGUAAAGGAGGCCGUGAAAAACAGUCCAGAAAGGUUUUCUUUGAAAAAAAAAUCAUCAUGAAUUUUGGCGCAAAAAAAUACCUUACUAUACUAUGUCGAAAAAAAAUGUGAUUUUUCAAACAUGUCGUAAAAAUGUGCCAUAUGAUGAAAUAAUGUAAAGGAGGACGUGAAAAACACUCUGGAAAGGUUUUCUUUGAAAAAAAAAAUCAUCAUGAAUUUUGGCAUAAAAAAACGCCUUACUAUACUAUGUCGAAAAAUGUCAUUUUUCAACAUGUGAAAAUGUGCCAUAUGAUGAAAUAAUGUAAAGGAGGCCGUGAAAAACACUCCAGAAAGGUUUUCUUUGAAAAAGAAUCAUCAUGAAUUUUGGAGCAAAAAAACGCCUUAUUAUACUAUGUCGAAAAAAAAUGUGAUUUUUCAAACAUGUCGUAAAAACGUGCCAUAUGAUGAAAUAAUGUAAA